CAGCAGCCACCAACACAAAUCUAGGAUGCAAGGUACAGACAACGCCAUUCACCAUCGCAAGACGUCAAAUAAAGAUGACGCCAGACAAAAAAGAAGAAUGCCAUAGGGCCGUUGCAAAGUUUGUUGUGAAGGAUCUCCAGCCCUUCGCUACGGUCCAAUCCAAGUGGUUUAGGUAAAUAGGCAGUCAAUUUUAAGUCAGUGUGAGCUCUGUUAGCAGUCCUGUUAAUCAGGUGUAAGCUAAUUUUGUAUUGUUUUUUCCAUGAUGAUUGUUAGGGAGAUGACCAGAGCCCUUAACCCAGGUUACACCCCCCUUCCAGAGAAGUGUUGUCAGGCACCCUUCUACCAGCUUGGUAUGAAGUUGAAAAGAAAAAUGUAAUAGCUGAGCUUGCUAAGGUGUCAAAAGUGGCCAUAACCAGCGAUGGGUGGACAAGCAUCACACAGGAUCACUAUGUCACCGUCACACUCCACUAUGUGAAUGAAGGCCAGUUAAAGCAGAAAGUUCUCUCAACCCAGGCAGUAUACGAGUCACAGAGUGGUCCAGUUGUGGCUCAAGAGAUAGGAGAAGUGCUUGUAGAGUUUGGUGUUAGAGCAAAAGUUGUAGCCAUGACAGUUGAUAAUGCAGCUAACAUGGAAGUGGCUGCACGUGAGCUCCAAAUCAGAAAGCUGGGAUGCUUUGCACACACUCUUAACCUCAGACAAAAGGUCUACACCAGCCAAACUGUCUCAAAGUGGUCAGCAAGGAUCCGGGACUGUGUUGUGUGCAUCAAGAGAUCUUCCAUUGUGAAGAACCUGGUUGCAGAGAAGCAGAGACUUCUGGGCAUGACUGUCCUACUGUUGUCCUGGAUGUGAGGACCCGCUGGAACUCGCUGUAUCUCAUGGUUGAAAGAUUUAUUGAGAUGUACCCAGCCAUACAAGCUGCCCUCUUGGACCCACGGGCCCAAAAACUGAUGAAGAGAGAGAGGAUGAUGAUCUGAUGCUGUUCUUGGAAGAGGCCACCACCAUGGACCCUAGGUUCAAGGAGAAAACCAACAAAGAAGAAGUCUUUGACCGGCUGAUGGAGGUAGCAGUAAGAGAAUUGUCAGAGGAUGAGGAGGUGCCAAUGAAUGAAGCUGAGUUCCAGAGGGAUGAAGAAGGGGAUGAUGACGAAGAGGAUCAUUCAAAACCAGCAUCUGCACUGGGAGAACUCUUCGCAGAGGAAGAUAGACAACUGCAAAGGCAGCUCAUUCAGCAGCGAAGUGCACCAACUAUUCAAGAAAGACUGAAAAAAGAACUUGCAGUUUACAGAGGACUUCCCCCUAUCCCCACUGAACAAGACCCUGUCCAAUGGUGGUGUAGUAAGACAGACACACUUCCUUUAUUCUCACAGCUAUCAUUCAUCUACCUGUGCGUCCAGGCCUCUUCUACGCCAUCUGAACGAGUGUUCUCGACCACAGGAGACACAUUCUGUCCAGAGAGGUCUCGGCUGCAGCCUGAGAAAGUAAACAUGCUGCUUUUUCUUAACAAAAACUGUUAGGGCUGCAAGAGAAGUGCCUUCACUGCACUGUUAUGUUCGUGUGUGUUUUUUUCUGUGAUCUUCUGUUCUGAGAACCAUUUAAUUGUAAGAAUAGCUUCUGUUGUGUGUUCUGAUCCUCCUUUUGGGAAUUAAAAAAAACUUGAAUCUU
Melanotaenia boesemani (Boeseman's rainbowfish) is the source of this 1661-nucleotide RNA transcript. It is a transcript of the gene named E3 SUMO-protein ligase ZBED1-like, with no coding region annotated. Lineage: Eukaryota; Metazoa; Chordata; Actinopteri; Atheriniformes; Melanotaeniidae. The record is from RefSeq and is a predicted model, not a curated record. The transcript is spliced from 5 exons.